UGGGGAAUUUUGGACAAUGGGGGCAACCCUGAUCCAGCCAUUCCGCGUGAGUGAAGAAGGCCUUCGGGUUGUAAAGCUCUUUCAGCAGGAACGAAACGGUCGGCUUUAAUAAAGUCGGCUAAUGACGGUACCUGCAGAAGAAGCACCGGCUAACUACGUGCCAGCAGCCGCGGUAAUACGUAGGGUGCGAGCGUUAAUCGGAAUUACUGGGCGUAAAGCGUGCGCAGGCGGCGACAUAAGACAGAUGUGAAAUCCCCGGGCUCAACCUGGGAACUGCGUUUGUGACUGUGUUGCUAGAGUGUAGCAGAGGGGGGUGGAAUUCCACGUGUAGCAGUGAAAUGCGUAGAGAUGUGGAGGAACACCGAUGGCGAAGGCAGCCCCCUGGGUUAACACUGACGCUCAUGCACGAAAGCGUGGGGAGCAAACAGGAUUAGAUACCCGGGUAGUCCCUGAGCGGGCUGGCAAGGCG
RNAcentral lists this ribosomal RNA (469 nucleotides) under uncultured bacterium. RNAcentral's name for it is "bacterial SSU rRNA". It matches the Rfam family "Bacterial small subunit ribosomal RNA", at positions 355 to 822 of the family's 1533-position model. The record is from RNAcentral.